Molecule: ribosomal RNA, 1137 nt
Filed under: Triticum aestivum (bread wheat)
Lineage: Eukaryota; Viridiplantae; Streptophyta; Magnoliopsida; Poales; Poaceae
Description: partial small subunit ribosomal RNA
Source: RNAcentral
AUGAGGAGAAAAAUAAGAUGCAGACUUGGUUUUAGAGACCUGCACAGUUUUAAUCUUGCUAUAUUAGCAAAACAGUACUGGCGACUAAUCCAGAACCCAGACUCUUUGUGCACACAAGUGUUGAGGGCAAAAUACUACCCGGAUGGUGGCAUUUUGAGAGCAAGUCCACAGAAAGGAUCAUCUUACACAUGGCAAAGCAUUGUUGCAGGUAUCCAGACAUUCAAGAGGGGCUAUAUUUGGCGUGUGGGAACGGGAUUGAACAUUGAUAUAUGGCAGGACCCAUGGAUUCCAUUGAGUGUGUCAAGAAGAGUUGUCACUGAGAGGGGUGCUACAAUGCUCUCGAAAGUUGAAGAAUUAAUAAACCCACACACAGGACAAUGGGACGAGGGUCUUAUCCGAGAUGCCUUCUCACCUGUUGAUGCCUACAGGAUUUUACAAAUUCGUUUGAAUGCCAAUAUGACAGAGGACUUUGUAGCGUGAAACUAUACACGUUCAGGCACUUUUUCUAUGAGGUCUGCUUAUCAUAAGGAAUUUGAGCAUCAACAUGGAACACGUCUGAUGAGAGCUGAUGGUCAAGGGAGACAACAAAUUAAUCUUGUGUGGAAUGAUAUAUGGAGACUGAAAAUACAAGGAAAGAUCAAGCAUUUUGCAUGGAAAGUUCUACACGGUGCACUCCCAUGCUUGGGAGCAUUAGCAAAUCGCCACAUUCCAUGUUCACCUCAAUGCCCGGUAUGCUUGAUUGGCGAUGAAGAUAUACAACACUGUUUGUUCAAAUGCUGACGAGCGACCAAAGUUUGGGAACAGUUGGGCUUACUGCAAGAUAUUUGGAGGGCUGUUUUGGAAGAUAGAUCAGGGUCUAUUACCAUGGAAAUUAUCUCCAAACUAAAAGGCGCUGAUGGAGAGAUACCAAGGGCAGAACUCAUUAUCAUAGCGGCACGGUAUAUAUGGUGGCAACAACGACAAACAGUGAAGGGGACACAAGUUCAGACCCCCGAGAAAACUGCACUAUCUAUCAAAGUGUUAGCAACGAAUUACAUGAGAUCACUCACGCCUAAAGGUCCAGUACGAAAGAGUGAUCACAUGUGGAAAAAACCAGGAAGUGGGAUGGUGAAGAUAAAUGUUGACGCCUUCUUUUAG